GAUGAACGCUGACAGCAUGCUUAACACAUGCAAGUCUUUGGCGAAUCUGUUCUUUCACAGGUUAGCUCGGGCGGACGGGUGAGUAACGCGUAAAGAACUUGCCCUGCAGACAGGUAUAACAGCCGGAAACGACUGAUAACACCUGAUACAAUUGCCGGCUCGCACGUGCCUGGCAAUGAAAAGAGGGGCUGCAGGAGAGCUUUGCGUCCUAUUAGCUUGUUGGUGAGGUGACGGCUCACCAAGGCGAUGAUAGGUAGCCGGCGUGAGAGGGUGAACGGCCACUAGGGGACUGAGAUACCGCAGUUACUCAUAGGGGAGGCAGGAGUGGAAAAUAUCGGACUGGGGGGGCAACUGUGAUCCAGAAAUUCUGUGUGGGAGAAGAAGGUUUUCGGAGUGUAACGUGCUUUCAGCAGGGAAGAAGAAAGUGACGGUACCUGCAGAAGAAGCGACGGCUAAAUACGUG
This 463-nucleotide ribosomal RNA is filed under the name uncultured bacterium. Its description in RNAcentral is "partial 16S ribosomal RNA". It matches the Rfam family "Bacterial small subunit ribosomal RNA", at positions 28 to 507 of the family's 1533-position model. The record is from RNAcentral.